GGAUGUGAGGGCGAUCUGGCUGCGACAUCUGUCACCCCAUUGAUUGCCAGGGUUGAUUCGGCUGAUCUGGCUGGCUAGGCGGGUGUCCCCUUCCUUCCUCACCGCUCCAUGUGUGUCCCUGUCCCUACCGAAGCUGUGAGCUCGGUGGAAGAGGACGACCAUCCCCAGUAGAGGAGGACCGUUCUUCGGUCAAGGGUAUACGAGUAGAUGUGCUCUCCUGCUAGAAACUCCAAACAAGCUCUCAAGGUCCAUUUGUAGGAGAAGGUAGGGUAGUCAAGCUUCCAAGACUCCAGACACAUCCAAAUGAGGCACUGCACGUGGCAGUCUGCCUUUCUUU
RNAcentral lists this small nuclear RNA (337 nucleotides) under Castor canadensis (American beaver). RNAcentral's name for it is "7SK RNA (ENSCCNG00000025494.1)". It matches the Rfam family "7SK RNA". From Rfam's summary of the family: 7SK was discovered as an abundant small nuclear RNA in the mid-70s but a possible function has only recently been suggested. Two independent studies have found that 7SK RNA binds the CDK9/cyclin T complex (known as elongation factor P-TEFb). Lineage: Eukaryota; Metazoa; Chordata; Mammalia; Rodentia; Castoridae. The record is from Rfam by way of RNAcentral.